This is a non-coding RNA of Trichobilharzia regenti, 46 nucleotides long. The record is from Rfam. NCBI's taxonomy places the organism in Eukaryota, Metazoa, Platyhelminthes, Trematoda, Strigeidida, Schistosomatidae.
GUACUGAUGAAGAGUCCCAAACCAGGACGAAACAGCUAUCCAGUAC